This 546-nucleotide small RNA is filed under the name Apiospora sacchari. RNAcentral describes it as "eukaryotic LSU rRNA". The stretch from base 176 to 329 matches the Rfam family "5.8S ribosomal RNA". The record is from RNAcentral. Lineage: Eukaryota; Fungi; Ascomycota; Sordariomycetes; Amphisphaeriales; Apiosporaceae.
GAUGAGUUAGCAUCAUACAUCUGUUAACUACCCAGUUAUGCCUCGGCGUAAGCUCGGUUGGAGGCACCUGCAGCUACCCUGUAGUUGCGGACUGCCAACUCCAGCCGCGGCCCGCCGGCGGUACACUAAACUCUGUUUUAUUUUAUAUUCUGAGCGUCUUAUUUUAAUAAGUUAAAACUUUCAACAACGGAUCUCUUGGUUCUGGCAUCGAUGAAGAACGCAGCGAAAUGCGAUAAGUAAUGUGAAUUGCAGAAUUCAGUGAAUCAUCGAAUCUUUGAACGCACAUUGCGCCCAUCAGUAUUCUGGUGGGCAUGCCUGUUCGAGCGUCAUUUCAACCCUUAAGCCUAGCUUAGUGUUGGGAAUCUGCUGUACUGCAGUUCCUUAAAGACAGUGGCGGAGCGGCGGUAGUCCUCUGAGCGUAGUAAUUUAUUUCUCGCUUUUGUCAGGCUCUGUCCUCCCGCCAUAAAACCCCCAAUUUUUUAGUGGUUGACCUCGGAUCAGGUAGGAAUACCCGCUGAACUUAAGCAUAUCAAUAAGCGGAGGAAA